GUAUGUGUAUAUACUCUUCCUUAUCCAUUCAUCUGUUGAUGGACAUCUAGGUUCUUUCCAUAGUUUGGCUGUUGUGGACAUUGCUGCUAUAGACAUUCAGGUGCACGUGCCCCUUCAGAUCACUACAUUUGUAUCUUUGCGGUAAAUACCCAGUAGUGCGAUUGCUGGGUCAUAGGGUAGUUCUAUUUUCAACUUUCUGAGGAACCUUUAUACUGUUUUCCAGGGUGGCUGCAUCAGCUUGCUUUCCCACCAACAGUGUAGGAGGGCUCCCCUUUCUCCGCGUCCUUGACAACAUCUGUUGUUUCCUGACUGGUUAAUUUUAGCCAUUCUGACUGGUGUGAAGUGAUAUCUCAUUGUGGUUUUGAUUUGUAUUUCCCUGAUGCCAAGUGAUAUGGAGCACUUUUUCAUGUGUCUGUUGGCCAUCUGGAUGUCUUCUUUGCAGAAAUGUCUGUUCAUGUCCUCUGCCCAUUUCUUGAUUGGAUUAUUUGUUCUUUGGGUGUUGAGUUUGAUAAGCUCUUUAUAAAUUUUGGAUACUAGCCCUUUAUCUGAUAUGUUGUUUGCAAAUAUCUUCUCCCAUUCUGUCAGUUGCCUUUCGGUUUUAUUGACUGUUUCCUUUGCUGUGCAAAAGCUUUUGAUCUUGAUGGUCCCAAUAGUUCAUUUUUGCCCUUGCUUCCCUUGCCUUUGGCAAUGUCGAUUUCAUUCUUUUUUAUAGCAAAAUAAUAUUCCACUAUAUAUAUACACGACACCUUCUUUAUCCAUUCAUCUAUUGGUAGAUAUUUAGGUUGCUUCUGUACCUUGACUAUUGUAAAUAAUGUUGCAGUAAACAUAGGGUUGCAUACAUAUUUUUGGAUUAGUGUUUUUGUUUUCUUUGGAUGACUACCUAGAAAUAGAACUGGACCAUAUGGUAAUUGUAGUUUUAGUUUUUUGAGGACCCUCUAUCCUGUUUUCCAGAGUGGGUGCACCAAUUUAUAUUCCCAACAAUAGCACCAAAAAAAAAAAAAAAGAGGAAAAAAAGCUUUUCUUUAAACAAGGCAUUUCAGCUCCACUGAAGUACUAGAUAUUAGUUAAUAAAACUAAUACUACUUUAAGUCUUUUCCAUUCAAAACCAGUGUACUAUCCAUUAACCUACACUAAUAACUCAAAUUGUCACUAUAUGUUUGAAUAAUGUACCCUGUUAUUUGAAAAGGAAAAGGAAAAAAAAAUCACAAUCCAAAUUGAGGAUCCUGAGGGGAUGAGGUUUGAUGGUACCAUCUUCAUAUAUGUUAUAUAAUUCAUGCAUAGUUGAAAGGGAGCCAAAUGCAGAUCACUACGAAAAUCAGUUGCCUAACUGAAGACAGUAUCAGAGUAGCUUUGAUGAUGGGAGCAGUAAAAGAAUGUAUAGAUAGGACUAUAUCAAAAUCCUCUAUCACCAUAACCAUUUUCAUAAUGGACUAAAUGAGACUGUAAACAAUCCCUGUUUAGUAAUAUUUGAGGGUUCCCAAUCUUUUUACAAUCACUUAAAUCAUCACCAUGAUUAGAAGUUCAUGAUUAGGGCGCCUGGGUGGCUCAGUGGGUUAAGCCGCUGCCUUCAGCUCAGGUCAUGAUUUCAGGGUCCUGGGAUCAAGUCCUGCAUCGGGCUCCCUGCUCAGCAGGGAGCCUGCUUCCUCCUCUCUCUCUCUCUCUGCCUGCCUCUCUGCCUACUUGUGAUGUCUUUCUGUCAAAUAAAUAAAAUAAAAAAUAUUAAAAAAAAAAGAAGUUCAUGAUUAACCAAAAUUUUAAUAAAAAGAAUUCCCCUCCUUUCUCCAAAGCAAAAAGCAGGUUAGUUCCUAUAUCUACAAAAGAAGAAUCAUGUCAACACACUUCUCAAAAAAGCAGAGUAUGUCCUACAGGAUAUUUGUUAAUGUUUUAUUCAGGCUACUUUAAAAUGGCCAAUCUUACUUUUAGAAGACCCUUCCAAAAUCAACAAAAUAGGGUGCCUGGGUGGCUCAGUGGGUUAAGCAUCUGCCUUCAGCUCAGGUCAUGAUCCCAGGGUCCUGGGAUCAAGAUCAAGAGCCAAGUGGGGCUUCCUGCUCUGUGGGGAGUCUGCUUCUCCCUCUCCUUCUGCCUCUCCCCCUGCAUAUGCUCUCUCUCUCUCAAAUAAAUAAAUAAUCUUUUUUUUUAAUCAAAAAA
Long non-coding RNA from Mustela lutreola (European mink), 2148 nucleotides. RefSeq lists it as uncharacterized. The transcript is spliced from 2 exons. NCBI's taxonomy places the organism in Eukaryota, Metazoa, Chordata, Mammalia, Carnivora, Mustelidae. The record is from RefSeq and is a predicted model, not a curated record.